GCAAUGCUCAUUUCCCUUUAGGCAAAACACAUGUCUUACCACAGCAGCCCACAGCCUAAGCAAAUAUAGACUUGUAAGCAGAUGGAUAAAGGCAUAUAACCAUGACGCUCUAACUAUAUGUUCUUCCUUCAACAUAGUAAGUUCUGUGCUUCACACUUGGGGAGAAUUUAACAUGCAUCCCUUUCUUUCCAGACUUCAUUCCUUGAUUUUUCUUUUAGACUAUGCAGUAACAAGAAUUGUACAACUUCAAAGAACAAAGCAGUCCAACUUUAUGAUGAAAAAAAAAAAACAAAAGAAUUGAUAUGUUGUCCAGUGGUAGUAAAAUGUUCCCUGUAUGACCUUGCUUUCUGGUACUAGCCAGAAAGCCCAAAAUAUUAUUUUAAAGAAAGGGUCCCUUUUCCAUGUCAGCCUUUCUUCAUACUGAUUGAUUUUGUUAUGGUAGAUCAACUAUAAAUGGUAGAUCAACUAUAACCAAAUGACCUAAAGAGAAAACUGGAGACUGUUCCAUCAUUUUUGUGGAUGCCUUCUCUAUGAAAUUAACCCCCACCAAUGAUUCCCACACUGAGUCAUUCUUCCUCCAUAUUUGCACAAUCUCCAACAACUGAGGAAUAGUUAGAAGGCAAUACCUUUUGGCAAGGGUCAAUAUUUCCUAAUAUAUUCCAGCACAUGUGUUACAUACCCAUAAUGUCUUCAUAUAGAUAAAAAUAAAUCCAGUUCAGUCAUGAAAUUCAGGCUACAAAGUAAGGUCCUGACAAGGAGGGGAAGUCAGAAGAAAGUGGGAAUCAAAGCUAGUUUUUAUUGGCAGGCAACAUCGAAGACCUCAGAAAGACUCUAGCAAAGGGUUGCACUUUGUAGAGAUCCUGAUCUUCUUCUGAGAGAUCUAAGAAAGCUGAGCACAGAGCUUUUCACAUUCAGGAUGCUCCACAGAGACCAGCCAUAUGAAGAUCAGACAAGAUAUGCAAAGGAAUCUUUGGAAUAUUGGCUGGCAGCACAUUCAGUUUCAGAAAUUAGAUACGUCAUGUAUUGUUCAAGAUAUAACUUUAAACUCAAUGCAAAUAGCAUUUAUAAUUGUGUUCUAGGACAAAGACUUAUGUCUCCAUUCUCUGGAAAGAUUAAAAUCUAUUCUGGAUACAAAAAAAAAACUAAAUGAAUAGAUUCCAUCAAACAUAAUGUGUUCUCAGAAACAGGUGGUGUAUGAAGUUGAAGAGCCAUGACUAGAGCAGGCCAUCAGGAAACCAAAUGAAGCAGUCAAUGAAAUCUCAAUUCUUCUUCCUGCAAAGCAAGAUGUGAUGGCCCCUAAGAAAGACUUAAAAUAUGAAAGAGCAAGGGAGUUUCCAUCCCUUUCAAUCCUAACCACCUGAUUCUGCUCCUUCUCUUUAUUAAUAAAGAUUGUGUGUAUGUAUGUGUGUGUGUGUGUGUGUGUGUGUUAUGUACUACAUACACGUGCAUAUACAUGGGCACAUGCACACACGCACACACAAACCAGGACAGAGAAACAAUGAAUUUACUGCCCUAUUACUAUGAUUAGCAUUUUCCAUGCAGCUGCCAAUUUUUCUGGAGAGCUUAUGGUAAAAUUUCAGCUAAAAAAAAAAAUACAGUCGCUACUUCUUCAAACAGCUGGUGGUUUCCUCCACUCAUUCCCAGGUGGCUACAGUUCCAAUUUGUGGCUAGUCUUGUCUUCAAACAUCUCGGGGCAGCCAACAUAUGACAGGAUGACAGAUCGUCCUCUCAAUGGAUACUGACAAACAAAUUAGUGCAAAGAUGCUUUUCGUGGCAGACCAGAUGUGUUGAGUUCUAUCAUACGGAACAAGCAAUGAGGAACUGUCCAUGCCCCAUCUGUGCCUUUUAUUUUUUAUUUAUCUCUCUGUGUCUGUCUCUUUUUCCCCAGACUUCUAAUGCACUAUCAUGACAAAGCACCAAAUUUACACAUGCAUUUAAUGAGCACAUUGAAAGGCUGGGCUCAUUGUCACCUCUAAAACUUUCCUAGGAUGGAAUCCAGCUAAUGACACCAUGAAGCAAUAGAACUCUUCAGUAGGAUAUGGAAGGAAUCUCUAAACACUCUGCUGAAACACAAAUCUUUACCACAAGUAGGCAAAGGCCAGGAGGAGGCCAGGAGGCAUUUUACAGUUCUUGCCAUCCAGAAAUGUGUCUCCACACAGAUGGGGUGGAAUAACUGGCAUAUGCUUUACUCUUGCCCAAGAUAGGUAUAUAUAAUGUCCAUUAGACUAAGAAGUAAUUAGGUAGAUGAUAAGCCCUAGAUUCCUACAACCUUAAAGGGACAUGAAAAAGAACCUCCUUGUAUCAUACAACGCCACUGAGAACUAGGAAUAAAUAAUAGAUAUCUCCUUUGAGGAUCUUAGAGUGCAGAGAACUCAAUGCGAAAGUGCCUACUGGUGCAAAGCAGCAGAUAAUGAGGCUGUCAAUGGGCUCAGCAAUGAGUGGUUUAGCGAGAGGAGGAUAGAGAGGUUUCCAUGGAGCCAUAGGAUCCUACAGAGAAUACUGCAGCCAAACAAGACUUAAGAAUGAAUAGGAAUCAGAUUAAUAGGGAAAAAUCGGGGCAACAGUUCCAAGAUAGUAGGAGACCAAUGUUCUAAUGACUGGUAUGAAUCUGGAAGCAUGUACAGAAACCUAAGACUAAUUUUAGGGAGAGCUGUUGAGGCAAUGGGAGGGGAUUCAUUUUAAGCAUUCACCUAAAGUCAGAUUAAAAUCUGUCACAAUAGAGGAGACUCUGAGGGUCUUCAUCAGAGAGGGAUAUUUAUCCUAACAUUCCCUUUAUUGAUCUAAGCUCCAAAACGAAUUACAGAACUGAGACUACCUCUCUAAUGAGUUAGAACAAGGUAUUAAUUCCACCUAUCACAAAGGGCUGUGGUGUCCUCAACUGUUCCUUGACCUAACAGGCUUACAAUUAAUGAUACC
RNAcentral lists this long non-coding RNA (2916 nucleotides) under Mus musculus (house mouse). Its description in RNAcentral is "long non-coding RNA chr13:8517636-8520552". The record is from RNAcentral. Lineage: Eukaryota; Metazoa; Chordata; Mammalia; Rodentia; Muridae.